CAAGAGAGGGGGUGGUGUGACAUCCACCUACGAAUGCAGACACGAUGGCUGGAAUGCAUUUACAUUACACUGAGAUCCGAUCACAAUGUGUCCUCGACUACCUCUGCACCAGGACACGCUGAUCAGAUAACAUUCAGAUCAGAAGCGCGUUUACACUUGUCUUUUCAAUGUGUAUGUGGACAACAUUCGAAUACAGUGAUUGACCGGAUAAAAGAGUGACUGGAGAACGUGGAAGGGGAGAGAGACUGAACUCAUUCGUGCUCGCCUAGUCUGAAAGCCAGAGAAAUAAGAGGAACUGAGUAAUUGUGAGACUGGCGACUGUCUGAAAGCGCAGACAAUGCAACUUUUGUGUUUUAUGAUUGUUUUCAUUGAAUAAAAACGCACCGCCGACCCUACCCUCUUCCUUA
Molecule: long non-coding RNA, 407 nt
Organism: Cyprinus carpio (common carp)
Lineage: Eukaryota; Metazoa; Chordata; Actinopteri; Cypriniformes; Cyprinidae
Source: Ensembl